AUUCUAAUAGUCAAAAAUGAUUUUAAAUUGCAAAUUUAAAGGUAAAAAAAAAUUUUUUUAGAAUU
RNAcentral lists this transfer RNA (65 nucleotides) under Cucujoidea sp. 29 KM-2017. RNAcentral describes it as "tRNA-Cys". Lineage: Eukaryota; Metazoa; Arthropoda; Insecta; Coleoptera. The record is from RNAcentral.